Molecule: RNA transcript, 4224 nt
Organism: Daphnia pulex (common water flea)
Lineage: Eukaryota; Metazoa; Arthropoda; Branchiopoda; Diplostraca; Daphniidae
Gene name: N-acetylglucosamine-6-phosphate deacetylase-like
Exons: 14
Source: RefSeq, a predicted model, not a curated record
CUGUCCUACACUCUAUAUUUGGUUUGCCGUUCAAAAACGGAAAUAUAAAGAGACUGGUGGAAAAACCGAACCAAGAACAAAAACAAAUCCAGAAUCCAGAAUUAGAAAUUUGUGUUGAGAGACAGUCAUCUGACAGCCAACAGAAUGGGGAAUGAAAUAAUCCAGUUCCACAAUUGCUUCAUUUUGCGAGAUGGGAAAAUCAUUAAAGAGGACCUGUGGACCUGUGAUGGCAAAAUUGUCAAUCCAGAACCCAUUUUCUUUGACCAAAAGGACUACGCUGACAUAAAAAUUGAUUGUGAAGGGCUUACGAUUGCUCCAGGAUUCAUAGAUGUACAAGUAAAUGGUGGCUUUGGUGUGGAUUUUUCUCACGAUAGUGAAACCAUUGAGGAAGGCUUGAAAGUGGUAGCUAAAGGACUUUUGGCUUAUGGUACUACUUCAUUUUGUCCUACACUGGUUACCUCAUCACCUAAAUAUUAUCACCAGGUUGUAGAAAAAAUUAAGAAAACUCCAGGAGGUUCUGACGGAGCAGAAAUCCUUGGCAUACAUGUUGAGGGACCUUUUAUCAAUAAUGAUAAAAAGGGUGCACAUGACUUGCAAUUUAUUCACAAGUUCACCAAUGGAGCCAGUUCUAUUGAAGAAGUAUAUGGAAAGCACUGGAGGAAUAUCUCAAUGAUCACUCUAGCUCCUGAGCUGGAAAAUUCAACAGAAGUUAUUAAAUACUUAACCAGUAAUGGUGUGACAGUUUCGCUGGGCCAUUCAAUGGGUAGCCUUAUUCAGGGAGAAGAAGCAGUAAGAAAUGGUGCCUCCUUUAUCACUCAUCUUUUUAACGCCAUGUUGCCUUUCCAUCACCGAGAUCCUGGGCUGAUCGGGUUGCUAGCCUCUUCGAAAAUUCCACCCGGAAAAACUGUUUAUUACGGAAUUAUCGCUGAUGGAAUCCACACUCAUCCAGCAGCGCUUCGCAUUGCCUACAGAACUCAUCCUAAAGGACUCGUUUUAGUAACCGAUGCGAUGUCGGCGCUCGGCUUGCAACCUGGACAAUACAAACUCGGUUACCAGGACGUUGAUGUCAAGGAAAACUGUGCCGUGUUGGCUGGGACCACCACAUUGUGUGGAGCGAUAGCCUCGAUGGAUAAAUGCGUCCGUCACUUGAAGCGCGCUACAGAGUGCUCUACUGUUGAAGCUCUGGAAGCAGCUACUUUGCAUCCAGCUUGCGCCUUAGGCAUUAACGAUCGCAAAGGGUCUCUUCUCUUUGGGCGCGAUGCCGAUUUUGUCAUUCUCGAUCACGACCUCAAUGUCGUUUCCACCUGGAUUGCCUCACAGAAAGUUUAUCAAAAUCCUGCCGCUGUGGAACUGACUUCUCGGAGAAUAACCAAGCAAUAGGUUUAAUUACUUUAGUCUUAUUUUUGGGCUAGUUGGGAUUUUGGAGAGGUAUGCAGUUCAGUGUUAUUGCAAGCCACCAAAUUGAGAGAUGUCAAGCAGUUGACAAGACUUUUCCCAUAAUUUUUUCUGGGUGUCGCGAUUGCGAACCAGUUUUAUCGGCUCGACUGCUUUGGAAUUUUCAAAAUAAUUCCCACUCAAGUCUUCCACUUGCGGCGAUAAAGCAGCGUGAACCACCCGUUGAGCGCCCUGUUCUUCAGUCUACAUAAAAUACAGUUAAAGAUAACCAAUAUUCGCGAACCAAUGUUGAGUCCAUAAAGCAGAUCUUAUAAUUCCAGGGUGAAUGGCAUAAAUUUUUACGGGAUAAUUCUUAAGAGACAAGCGCUCAUGCAAGACCUUGGUGAACAUGAUUAUUGCAGAUUUCGAUUGAGAAUAGGCGCAUAAUUUGUUAAAGUAAGACCUGAAUGGAACGGAAUUCAAACAUAAUAAUUAUUAUCCAGAAAUGAUCCAGCAAUGUGAUUACUUGGCCUGAAGGUCGUCUAUUUCAAACCACCCGAAGGCAUGGCCUAUCGAAGAAAGACAAACGAUCCUUGCUGCUUUAUUUUCCGUUCCUGCCUCUAUGAGGCGUGGCAAAAGGAGAUGCGUUAAUAGAAAGUGGCCUAAAUAGUUCACAGCAAAUUGCGUCUCGAAACCAUCCUUUGUCAAGGCGUAAGGUGACAUGGUUCCAGCUUAAGCACAACAGAUGGAUUAUAUCCGACAUUUAGUAAACCGUAUAAUUUAAAAUGAAUGAGACAGAGUCUAACCGUUGUUGAUUAAAAGACUAAUGGGGAUAUUUUUAUCGAGAACCGCCUUCCCAAACGUUCGAACACAAUCCAUCGACGAUAGAUCUAGAUUAAUCCAUUCUACAGAUCCAGUUGGAAAUCCGGCAUCCUUGAUUGAUUCGUAUAAUUGAUCCUUGCACGGGCCAUCUCUACAACCUAUCACGGAAGAUUUUUAUUAGCACCUAGAAAGGAAUCUUUAGUGGCGAAAUAUUUUUAAAACACUUACCAACAAUCACUUUCAUUCCAGAUUUGACUAACGCCUUUAUGGUGAACCAUCCUAUUCCCUGAUUUCCACCUGUGAUGACGGCAUAUUCCUCUUCUCUUUUUAAAGGGUCUGCAUGAAAGUAAAAAAAUCGCAAAAGACGUUAGUAAAAUAUAAUUAGAGAUAACAGUGAUUGGACUCGGAGCAAGAGCAGUACUCCAGUACUAUUCACGAAUUUCGUUACUGAAAAUUCGGAUGCAACGUGGGAAAUCAGAUCACGCGGAAAAUCAGAAAGAUUCCGCUAACGACUUUACGGUGGACCAUCCUAUCCCGCGAUUUCCACCUGUGACGACGACGUAUUCAUUUUCUCUGUUUAUAGGAUCUCACAUUUCAGAAAUCAAACUACAGCUGCCGAGGAUUAGCAUUUUUAGAAAUAUGUAGAAAUCCAGAAAAAUCUUUUUUAUGAAAUUCAUUUUCAAAAAGAAUCAGAUCUAGCUGUAGAAAAAAAAAACCGGCGGUAAGACUGGGAUAAAAUUUAAAUAUUGCUAAUAAUUCAACGUACGGAGACAGACCUAGUGUUUCAAGAGAUGAAUGCUGGAAUCAAAUGUCCAAUAUAUUCUGCUCAGUUACUAUCACUGGUAAGCUCCGAGUGCUGUUCGCUUGGUUAAAUGUUUUCUCGGAAGCUAUUUCAAAUCUAACCCCUAGGCCGAAAAUGAAAAAUGACCAGAGCAAACGAGAAGGUUGCCUUCCUUAAAUGAGAUUAUGAGAAGGGCUUUUCUUCUUUAUCGUUUGUCUAAGAAAUAUGAAACGGCACAAACUCCAGAUGUUCUCGCUUCUUUCUACCAGAAAGGACAACUAACGAUAUUAUUUUGAUAGUGUUGCUAUUUCAUAAACCUAAUUAUCAAGUUUCACUGAGCUGCUUGCGGAGCUGUCAAUUUGGAUUAACGAAAUUUGAUUUAAGCAUUUUUGCGUUUUUAUUGGUGACGCUUUUCUUCCUAUAAAACCAGUAAAUAUAUGAAAUAUCUUUGUAUAUUCUCGUUCCCGUUUUGUUUUCCUUUUUUUUUACUAACCUGAAAUCUAAAGUUUUGUUUCCAUUCUCUGGCAACAGUGUUUUCAUGUUUAUGUUUUUACAUAGUUUCGAGUUUUGACUUUGAAAAUUAGUAGAAUUUCAAUUUGUUCUCUUAUAACCUGCUUAUAACAGCGUAAAUCGACGUGGUUAUGGUUACCAUGAAAAUGACCUGUUUUUAAUAUUUACCCAUCAGUGAAGUUGCAACAUUAUGUAGGUAAGAUGCACACAUUUUAUAAUCAAUUUCCAUUUUCCGCCAUCCCUAGACAUUUUGUUUUUAAGUUUAUGCAAGUUCUUAAGCCUUUAGUUGAACCGAACAGGCCAUUUAGACCGAUCUGAUUAGACAACUACUCAAAAUGUAUGAACAUGUUCUGUAGUUAUAAUAUUAUAUACCUCUGUGGUCAUUGAAUUGGAAAGCUUUGCAAAUAGAUACAUGACUCAGACAUUCAGCCGAUUCAGGCCAGCAACACUCAGCCCAAUGGCCUCAAAGACCUUUAUCAAGACCUUGAGUCAUUAAUCAAACCGUAUGUUUUAAAAAUGUUUUAUCUUUUUUCAGCAUGAAUUACAUCAUUCAGCUAUUUAAUAAGAUAUCUUAAGCAUUUGGCAUGAAGCUUCAUAAUUUUAAAUUAUUGAUGUGCAGUGUAAAUAUUGUAGGUACUGAAGAACCGAUAAAAUUUUUUCUGUUUAUUGAUUAUCCCAGAUACAGUAUACUGAAUUAUAACCAAUUAAAAUUGGAAAAACAGGGAAAACAGAAUGGA